AACAUCGCGCACCUGCGGGAACCUGCGGAAGGAUCAUUACAGAGUUGCAAAACUCCCACAAACCAUCGCGAAUCUUACCCGUACGGUUGCCUCGGCGCUGGCGGUCCGGAAGGCCCUCGGGCCCCCGGACCCUCGGGUCCCCCGCUCGCGGGGGGCUGCCCGCCGGAGUGCCGAAACCAAACUCUUGAUAUUUUAUGUCUCUCUGAGUAAACUUUUAAAUAAGUCAAAACUUUUAACAAC
Molecule: unclassified non-coding RNA, 240 nt
Filed under: soil metagenome
Description: partial contains 5.8S ribosomal RNA, internal transcribed spacer 2, and large subunit ribosomal RNA
Source: RNAcentral